GUCUACGGCCACGCCACCCUGAACACGUCCGAUCCCGUCUGAGCUCGGAAGCUAAGCAGGGUGGGGCCUGGUGAGUAGUUGGAUGGGAGACCACCUAGGACUCGUGAAAAAUAAAAAAUAAGGGAUUGUAAGCU
RNAcentral lists this ribosomal RNA (134 nucleotides) under Pteropus vampyrus (large flying fox). The record is from RNAcentral. Lineage: Eukaryota; Metazoa; Chordata; Mammalia; Chiroptera; Pteropodidae.